Molecule: ribosomal RNA, 679 nt
Filed under: Laetiporus sp. PR-914
Lineage: Eukaryota; Fungi; Basidiomycota; Agaricomycetes; Polyporales; Laetiporaceae
Also listed under: 1 other name
Description: LSU rRNA
Rfam family: Eukaryotic large subunit ribosomal RNA
Source: RNAcentral
AUAUCAAUAAGCGGAGGAAAAGAAACUAACGAGGAUUCCCCUAGUAACUGCGAGUGAAGCGGGAAAAGCUCAAAUUUAAAAUCUGGCGGUCUUUUGGCCGCCCGAGUUGUAGUCUGGAGAAGCGUCUUCUACGCCGGACCGUGUACAAGUCCCUUGGAACGGGGCGUCAUAGAGGGUGAGAAUCCCGUCCAUGACACGGAUCGCCGGCGGUUUGUGAUGCGCUCUCGAAGAGUCGAGUUGUUUGGGAACGCAGCUCAAAACGGGUGGUAAAUUCCAUCUAAAGCUAAACACUGGCGAGAGACCGAUAGCGAACAAGUACCGUGAGGGAAAGAUGAAAAGCACUUUGGAAAGAGAGUUAAACAGUACGUGAAAUUGCUGAAAGGGAAACGCUUGAAGUCAGUCGCGUCGGCCGGGGCUCAGCCUUGCAUUCGUUUGCUCGGUUUACUUCCCGGUUCGACGGGCCAGCGUCGAUUUCGACCGUCGGAAAAGGGCGAGGGGAAAGUGGCACCUUCGGGUGUGUUAUAGCCUUUGGUCGGAUUGCGGCGGUUGGGAUCGAGGAAAAAAGGCAGCACGCCCUUGUGGCCGGGGCAUUCGUGCCCACGUAUCGUGCUUAGGAUGCUGGCGUAAUGGCUUUAAACGACCCGUCUUGAAACACGGACCAAGGAGUCUAACGUGCCUG